Molecule: non-coding RNA, 221 nt
Organism: Caenorhabditis elegans
Lineage: Eukaryota; Metazoa; Nematoda; Chromadorea; Rhabditida; Rhabditidae
Source: Ensembl
UAAAAUAACAUUGAAAGAAAAUUAAUGGUGAUAAUAUGAUUGAAAGAAGAGCACAAAAUGAAGCACACAAGGAGGAGCAGGAGUGUGGGAGGAACCCCGCCUUGUUCAAGAAGUACCGUAGUAGAAUGGAGAGGUAAAUGUUUAAGGAAUCUGGGAAAUGUUCGAUUACUUGAUGAGUUAUAGGGGUGAAAGGUCGCAAUUUGAAUUGGGGAAAGAAUAUA